CGGAUCAUUUCAGGCAUAAUUUUGCAGCCACAUCAAGCCUUGACUGUUCUGAAUCCAAUUUUUAUGCCCAUAUAGUAUAGUUGUACUCCCUUUAAACCAAGUGUGCUAAUGACAUCUUUGUAAGAUUGUCGACUGAAGAGAGCGCGGGUAAGAGAAACCGAAUUUCUAACGAAUGUCGAACGUCAAACUAACUUUCCGCGGUCAAAUACCGUAUAGACAGUGGAGUUGGCAUUUGUAGUAAAUUUGGUAAUUAAUCGUUUAGAAAUCGUUGCGCUAAGUGUAGCGUUUGUCUUAACAGGUGUGAGUAACAUUUUCAUGCCUUAUAUAUAGCGGAAUAAAAUAAGAAUAUAGGUAAGUGCAUGAAAAAUACUUAAAGAAUAGACUUGAUCCUGACCCCUUACCAGUGGGCGGUGCACCUCGUUUUGAGCUAACCGCCACAACACUUCAGACGAAGAAGGCGGCUGACCGAUAUUUUUCCUUGAACGCUUCCUCAGAAAUUAUUACCUGCAAAAUGUCUGAAAGGAAAGAGUGAUGGCCAGGAUAAAUGUAUCCUGUAUGCAGGAUAUAUUACAGUUGGUCUGUGUCAGUUAAAUCCAGGUUUGAGCUCGCUCAAGAUGUUGUAGCCCAGGUUGCAGAUUUCCUCAGUUCUUUAGGAAAGAAAAUGUAAUGCCCUGGUUCAGAAGGUGAUUUUGAUUGUGUGUUGUACCAGAUAAUGUCAUAUGGCUACUUUGAAAAUGUGCUGACCGUUUAGAAUUUGGAAACUUGGACCAUGUGUUAGAAAACAGGCACAUCAGCUGCUCGCGUCAACAAGGGAUGCAACAUUUCAUGGUUUUAAAGCUCCAAUUCUCAAACAAACUGGCGAGAAGGGACGGCCUUCCUUUAACAUCACCAUAGAUCAGCUGGAAUACCUCCUUUAACUAAACUUCACUGUUCCUGAGAUAUCCCGUAUGUUGUAUGUGAGUUUAAGCACUGUGAAGAGGAGAUUGAGGGAAUACGGGCUGUCAGUAAGGCAAACGUACAGCCAGAUUUCUGACGAAGACUUGAGAAAAGUUGUUGGUGACUUCUUUCAUCGGUGCCCGAAUUCAGGAUAUGUCAUGGUGUCUUGGUAUCAGAGUGCAGGCAUCAGAAUAACACGAUCUAGAGUUCGAGAAACUCUGAAUGCUGUGGAUCCAAUUGGCACCCUGCUGCGUGAAUUGCACCAUAAUUUGAUUCACAGAAGGGUGUGUUCAGUUCCUACAUCUUUGUCUCUUUGGCAUAUUGAUGGAAACCACAAACUGACUAAGUGGCACAUCGUCAUCCAUGGGGGCAUAGAUGGGUACAGCCAUAAGAUCAUGUAUCUGAAGGCCAGCACCAACAACCAGGCCUCAGCUGUCUUGGAAGCAUUUUUGGAGGCUGUCCAGCAGUUUGGUUUGCCAAGAAGAGUGAGGAGUGAUAAAGGUGGUGAAAAUGUUGAUGUGGCAAGGUUUAUAUUGGAGCAUCCUCUGCGUGGACCAGCUCUCUUAAACAUUUAGCAUAAAUGGUAAAGGUUUUUGUCCAUAAAAUGGUUAAAUGUUACCCAUAUAUUUGUUUAUUAAAGGGAACACAUUGCUGUGCAUCAGAUUGCUUGGUUAUUUUGAAGAAAUAUGAAACAGUUUGGCCCAUAAACUUUCUCAGUUUGGAAAAACUUAAAUGAAGCAUGCAGGGAACAAAAUGCAAUGCAGUUAGUACAUUGUUGACUAUUUGAGUAUUCAGAUUAUAAAUAAAUGUUGAUAUAUUAGCAAGUUAUUGGAAGAAAUCUGUGAAGUGGACAAACUUUUGGCUGGUAGUGUGCAUAUAUUUAUACACCCUAUUCUAUUAGUAGCAGAGACUGUUUGUUUUCUCUGUUCCAACCACAUUUACACCUUAGAGAGGACCAGCUAUAUUACCGGAAGAAGCGUUCACAACCAACGCAUUGAGUGUCUGUGGCGUGACGUCUGGUGUGCAGUUACAUCGAACUAUUAUGCAGUUUUCCACUAUCUGCAGGAAAUUGGAGCACUGGACCCAGACAAUGAAAAACACCUCAUAUGUCUGCAGAAUGUUAUGGUGCCUAGAUUGAAUGUGGACCUUGACCUGAUCAGGCAGGCAUGGGACCGACAUCCCCUCUCAUCUGAAGGCAACAGAUCUCCCCAACAGUUGUGGGUUUCAGGUCAACUGUUGAAGACAGAUGGUCCAGCUGAUCAAUUUACCUUGAGAUGCCAUCCAGCCAUCCAGGUUGUAAAUCCAAAUGCUCCAGGAGGUCGUCAACAGACCAUAUUGUUGGCGACGAAUAAGGCAUACAGAGAGAUAAAGAUGACCUUUCCUUUACCACCCGUGCAGUUGCUGGAUGAGUCCUAUGCCCUAGCUCAUGCUGAAAUGCUCCUCCAUGCUGACGGGAUCCCAGCACCAUUACGCCAGCAGUGUCUGGGGAAGCUGGUGGUGCGAUUUGGCCAAUACUUACAUGCCCCAUUCCACUGGCUUUUGGAAAAUGAUGUGGGUUACCUGAAGAACACAGAGCAAAACUCUCUAACCCACUUGCAAAAGGGAAAGUGCACAAUCAGUGGAAAAAAGAUCGUCUGCCAGAGUAUGCAGAGAGCUUCUCACAAGUCUCUAUAGACCUGGAGGCUAAUGUCCAUCAGUGUGUGUAUGGACAGAAAGGGUUUGAGAAUCAUACCUCGCAGGAGAUGUGCCAAUAUUCCACCCAGAAGGCCAGGCCUGAUGAUUUCAGCAGUGGUCAGAGGGAUUUGAUCCAGAAGGCAGAUAGCUGUGUCUGCUGGUGGCUGCAUACACCUGUGACCCAUAUCACCAGUGUACAGAUGAAGAGGUUUAUGAAGUUCAUUUAUAACAAGAAAAAGGAGCAAGUAAAUUGUCUGAAACACACACAACAGAAUGGUAAAUGAAUCAAUCUUGGUCACCAAUGAUCCCUUUUGGCUGGAUGACACUAUUUAUUGGAUCAGAUCUGAGGAGUCCCCAUCCACAGUCGCGCCGCCGAGCACAUGUCUGUCUACGAUCACGAUGAAGACGUCCCUAUCCACAGUUGCGCCGCCGAGCACAUGUCCAUCUACGGUUAUGAUGAAGAUGUCCCCAUCCACAGUGACACUGAAGACGUCCCCAUCCACAGUGGCACCGUCGAAGCUGUCUCCAUCCAAGAAGUCUGUGUCAAAGCUCAAGCACAAGAGUCAUGUCACCUCUGCAAAAUCAUCUCUGAGUGACUCCCCUUUGAGUAAUAGUAACUUAAGUAAUUAAUGUUGGGUUGAGAUUAUGUAUUUUACUGUUUUGACGUGUUCCAGGUUGAGUUGGAGGUUUGGGAGUGUCUGUGGGAAAAUCCCAACGACAUUCCAUCAGCGGACCUUUCCUGGGUGAAGGAUGACACAGAAAGAUGGCUCUUCACUCCCAUUCAGGUGUACCGCAACAACACCGGUGCAUUGAAGAGGCGGCGGGUAAUAAAAUAAGACAGGAUGUGGUUUUACCCUCCAGAACCUCCAGGCUACGUUAGUAGUACUGUGCCAACUCCACAUCUCUUCUUUCGGAGUUGCAUCUUUGUGUGGCAGCCUGUCGGGGUAUGGAGAUAUUCGCUGAAGUGUCCAAAUGGCGAUGAAUGUGUGGGGAAAGGAAAAAACGUUUACCAGUGAGGCUACCACAGCAGGUUUGUCACAUUUGUGAUGUAUCCAGCUGGUAUACUAUGCUGAUGGAGGUCCUAUGCUGUGGACAAUGUAUCAAAGCAGCCAGGAGCAGUGAAGGUAGCAAGAUGGGUCGGUGGUUGGCUUGGGAUCCUGCUAUCCAUGGUCAACUCCGUGAAGCUCAUCAAGCCAUGUUCACUGCCAUCCUCACAGACAAGCGUGGUAUGGACAAUGUGGUGUGAAUGUUUUAUGGGCUCUGUGGGACCAGACUGAUGGGAACACCAUGAUGAAGGUGUGGCGACGGAUUCAAGAGAAUCACUUUGAGGAGUAUCUCCAGAGGAAGAAUCUGUACACCGCACCACACUCCUCAUGACUCUCAUGAAACCCAGGGGGUUCAUGUCAGUCUUAAGACACACUUUCGAGGCUCCACCUCCUCCUAGAGAGCUGCCCUCUGCUCGUCUGCUCCACCAUGCCUUCCUGCUGGCAGAGGCCAACAAUGUGCAGGACUUCAGGAGCCAAGUUCUCUACACUUUUGGCACUGUGCUAAAAAUGGUCUCCACUAAGAAGAUGAGUACAACCAGUGUUGUGUGUAAUCUGAUUAUUGACUUUCAAUUACAUGUUUGCUAUCAUAUUACUUGGAUCACACACAUUUCUAAAACUGAAAAAUUUUGCUUUGCAGGUGGUGAAGAAGCUGUCGGGAGAGGGUAAAGACACAGCUGAGUGGAUUACCAGCAUAGGCAAUGAGCAUUCCCAGAUUGUCUCAUUUGUACUUUCCUGUGAAGAGUCCAUCGAGUAUCUGGAGCUCAUGUGCCGUGGAGUAAUAGACAGAUUCCAGCAGGCCGAUCAGUCUGUGCCAAAGAUCUUAUACGUUGAUCGAGGGUGGAGACCGCUGUGGAGACCUUGUUCCAGACAUGGGUGGACAAUUGUAUGGUGGUGUGUCUGGACAUAUUCCACUGGAUCCUUAGGUUUCAUGCAGCCAUUCUCACUGACAGCCACUCCAAGUAUGCGGUGUUCAAGUCUGUGCUAGCAGGAGCAGUGCUAGCCUACAACCACUCAGACUUGGAGCUGCUUAUCAAGGCUGUCAGAGCAAAGGACCCGACAGCUUUGAACAUGCUCAUGAAUGAAAACAUGGUGCGACUGUGUGUCAAGGGAGCACCAUGUUCGGAGAAUUACACUUGGGGCUCAGGAGACAUUUAGGUUCAUCCAGAUAGCCAUUGGUGAGCUCAAAGGUCCUGCUGGGCUAGAUGAAAGUGGAGUUAGCAGAAGCCAUAGAUGAGGUUUGGGAAGGCCAGCAACGUCAUCUAGAGUGCCUCCAGCAUCCUCCACACAUGAACAUGUAUCGUGUGGCUCAUACCACAACCAUCAACGGAGUGGACGUUCCUUUUUACAAGUGUGUCUGUGGAAGCAACAGCCUGGAGUGAUUCCACAAUGUUCUGCCUAAUAUGAUUCCAGGUACAAAUUUUGCAAACAUGCUGUUCCAAAUGCUAAAAUAAAAUGCCAAACCUGUGAUGGCACUCAUGAUAUGAUACUGUGUAUAUCAAUGUGAUCAUUACUUGUGGCAGUUCAAUUAUUUGUGGCCUUGCAAUGAUUGUAAUGUAGUUUGUCAAUCUGACGUCCCCACUGCGAGGCGUGUCCUUAUCAAGUUUACCUGCUUAGUGGAACUUGGACUGCAGUUCUGACGCUGUGUUUGGAGGCAAAGGACGACACCACCGAAUGUACUCUGUGCCUCUGAUGGAACGCCUCAACACCUGCUGCCAGAAGUAGUUUGGAGAAACUGUGUAGGAGAAUUUCCACGGCCAUUAUGAUGUCACGUCCAAUGAGUUGAUUGGGUUGGAGUACCUCUUCAGCCAGAGCACAGGUGUAACUGGUCCCUUCUCCCUUUAGUGACAUCAUAAAUGACAGACCCAGUCCAGAGGAGGAGAUGAUUCAGCCUGGCCAGCGUGACCCAGAUGAGGAUGAUGAGGUGUACCAGAGUGACACAGAGGCAGAUGGUGACAUGGUGGCUGCCGUCCCAGCCCACAUCACCCUGACAACUGAUGAGAUCACCACGGCUCACCCUCCGGCCUUUGUGCAUGAUUUUGUUAACCUCAAUCAGAAUGUAAUGCUAGCACAAAGAGGGAUUAUCACGUUGAUGCUGCCAUGAUUCAGCGAGUCAGGAUGGCUAAACGCUACACACCAGCUCAACAAAACAUCAGUGCUUCAGCACAACAGGCUGAUGUACACGCUGGUGAAACUUCUCUGGUUGUGGUCCCCUCGCAGCACUCAAUUGAGCCCUGAAAAAACAUCACAAAAGCCUACGAGAGAAUCCAGCAUUGUAUUUUGGUGGAGGUAUUCCUUUACUAAAAAUCAGCUCCAAGACCAUCCGUGAUUUCAUCCGCAGUCAAGAGAGACUCAUCAACUUGCAGUCAACAAAAAUGCCAUCCACCAUAUUAAAGACCACAUCAAUCUCCUCAAAGCAUCUACCUCCAGCAGCAUGUCAACCAUCUGUUCUCCCUCCACCUGACUAAUCGCUGAUUGAGUACGAACACAUUCCGAGCACGGCAGGGACCAAGGUGUUGAAAGAAAGAACGGACAUUGUGAUGGCAGUUCCAAAGACUCCUACCAGUCAGAACACAGUGAGAAGAUCUCUGGUCACUUCCACCAUCACCAAAAUAUUAUCUACAGUCACUACUACAACGCAAGUGAUUCCAGCCACUUCCACCAUCACCAAACCUCUACCCACAAUCACGGCAACACAAUGAUUCUAGCCAUUUCCACAACACCUGUGACAAUGUGCAGCAGUCAAACUGACACACAGUGCUGACAGUCCUUCAAUGUGGGCCAGAGCAACACUGUUCAAAAGAAAACACACAGACAAUCUUACUGAUGUUGCAGCCAAACUGGCAUGUGUACACAACCUGCCUGUUUGUACAUUCUGCAACCAACCAACUCAGGGACACAAAAAAUACAAAAAUAAAGUUUUUGCCCUGUGAAAAUGAUGUCGAUUUGACAGCAGGGUGUGCACUAGUUAUGAACAUUUCAUGUCAGUUGUCUCAGGGGCAUAAAGAUACAGAGUUUUUGCCCUUUUACUUUUUAUAAAUUGUACUUAUUUUUAUUAUUUUAUUAUCAUUAAUACAAUUGUAAUAAUAUAUUAUUAGCAUAUAUUAUCAUCAGUAUUAUAAUGCAUAAUAUAAAUAUUUACAUUUACCAGAUGUUUCUAUUCAAAGUGACUUUGAACUAAACACUGUAAACUUCUGAAAGAUAUUUAUCUCAUUUUAUUAAAAUGAUGUCUACCUUUAGAAUUGGACAGAUCAGACAAAAUGUACAAAAUUUAAAAACAUAUAAUACAGGAACAAGGACCGCUGAAUUGGGAACACUGGAGAUUUUUUUUUUAUUUAAAAUAAUAUUUUAUUGAAGUGUAUUAUAUUUAUAUUAUUUCUUUUUUUCCUAUUUUGUCUCACUCUAAAUAAAGGGAUUAUUUGUUAUAGCA
Molecule: RNA transcript, 7083 nt
Organism: Myxocyprinus asiaticus (Chinese sucker)
Lineage: Eukaryota; Metazoa; Chordata; Actinopteri; Cypriniformes; Catostomidae
Exons: 10
Source: RefSeq, a predicted model, not a curated record